AUGGCACCUGCGGACCUACCGUCUCCUGCACCGACAUCACCGUUCUCGCUGCCCGUGAUUCGGUCGUCGUGUAUUCUCAUUUGCAGUCUGGUGGAGUCCUACGAUCUGCUGCUCGGCCGCCUGGACAGCUUAUUGCCCAAUCGGUGGCAAGAGGUUUACGGCCAGCUCCCGCGUCCCACCGGAAGUGUUGACCAGCUCGUUGCCCACUUCGCUAGUAGGCUUGAUCUCACCGAACUCGAUCUUGUGGCGCUCUCCGGCGCGCACACCAUCGGCAAGGCUCAGUGCAGUGCCUUCUCCGACCGGUUCGGUCCUCGAGAAGACGGCGAGUUUGUACAGAGGCUCGCCGCGAACUGCUCCAGCGACGGAGAGCGGCUGCAGGACCUUGACAUAGAGACCCCGAGAGCAUUCGACAAUGCCUACUACCGAAACCUGGUGGCCGGGAAGGGGGUGCUCAACUCCGACAAGACGCUCAUGAAUGACCCGCGUACAAAGGAACUGGUCGAAGGCUUUGCUGCGGACCAGUGGUGGUGGUUCUUCAACCAGUUCGGCACAUCCAUGAAGAAGGUACCAUUGAUGUACCAAGCCGUCCCUGGGAGAUUUGGUGAGAUCCGCCGUUUCGGCUGCUUCAGACGCAACUCUGCCCCUAACCAAGCCUGA
RNAcentral lists this ribosomal RNA (657 nucleotides) under Triticum aestivum (bread wheat). RNAcentral describes it as "partial small subunit ribosomal RNA". Lineage: Eukaryota; Viridiplantae; Streptophyta; Magnoliopsida; Poales; Poaceae. The record is from RNAcentral.